RNAcentral lists this ribosomal RNA (255 nucleotides) under uncultured bacterium. Its description in RNAcentral is "partial 16S ribosomal RNA". It matches the Rfam family "Bacterial small subunit ribosomal RNA", at positions 524 to 777 of the family's 1533-position model. The record is from RNAcentral.
GACGUAGGGCGCGAGCGUUGUCCGGAUUUAUUGGGCGUAAAGAGCUCGUAGGCGGCUUGUCGCGUCGUUCGUGAAAUUCCACGGCUCAACUGUGGGCUUGCGGGCGAUACGGGCAGGCUGGAGUUCGGUGAGGGGAGACUGGAAUUCCUGGUGUAGCGGUGAAAUGCGCAGAUAUCAGGAGGAACACCUGCGGUGUAGACGGCUUUCUGGACCAUUACUGACACUGAGACACGAAAGCGUGGGUAGCAAACAGGG